RNAcentral lists this ribosomal RNA (483 nucleotides) under uncultured bacterium. RNAcentral's name for it is "partial 16S ribosomal RNA". It matches the Rfam family "Bacterial small subunit ribosomal RNA", at positions 30 to 507 of the family's 1533-position model. The record is from RNAcentral.
AUUGAACGCUGGCGGCAGGCCUAACACAUGCAAGUCGGGCGGAUGAAGGGAGCUUGCUCCUGGAUUCAGCGGCGGACGGGUGAGUAAUGCCUAGGAAUCUGCCUGGUAGUGGGGGAUAACGUCCGGAAACGGGCGCUAAUACCGCAUACGUCCUGAGGGAGAAAGUGGGGGAUCUUCGGACCUCACGCUAUCAGAUGAGCCUAGGUCGGAUUAGCUAGUUGGUGGGGUAAGGCCUACCAAGGCGACGAUCCGUAACUGGUCUGAGAGGAUGAUCAGUCACACUGGAACUGAGACACGGUCCAGACUCCUACGGGAGGCAGCAGUGGGGAAUAUUGGACAAUGGGCGAAAGCCUGAUCCAGCCAUGCCGCGUGUGUGAAGAAGGUCUUCGGAUUGUAAAGCACUUUAAGUUGGGAGGAAGGGCAGUAAGUUAAUACCUUGCUGUUUUGACGUUACCAACAGAAUAAGCACCGGCUAACUUCGUG